RNAcentral lists this unclassified non-coding RNA (201 nucleotides) under uncultured Tomentella. Its description in RNAcentral is "sequence contains ITS1". Lineage: Eukaryota; Fungi; Basidiomycota; Agaricomycetes; Thelephorales; Thelephoraceae. The record is from RNAcentral.
CUGAACUGUCGACACGAGUUGUUGCUGGUCCUCAGAUGGGGGCAUGUGCACACUCUGUUUACAAACCCACUCACACCUGUGCACCCUCUGUAGUUCUGUGGUGUGGGGGACACUGUCCUCCCACUGUGGUUCUAUGUCUUUACACACACACUCAGUGAUAAAGUCUUAUGGAAUGUAUGUCGCGUUUAACGCAAUACAAUA